This 304-nucleotide ribosomal RNA is filed under the name uncultured bacterium. RNAcentral describes it as "bacterial SSU rRNA". It matches the Rfam family "Bacterial small subunit ribosomal RNA", at positions 775 to 1067 of the family's 1533-position model. The record is from RNAcentral.
GGAUUAGAUACCCUGGUAGUCCACGCAGUAAACGAUGAGUGCUAAGAAUUAGGAGCUUGUCUUUUAGUUCUGAAGCUAACGCGUUAAGCACUCCGCCUGGGGAGUACGAUCGCAAGGUUGAAACUUAAAGGAAUUGACGGGGGCCCGCACAAGCGGUGGAGCAUGCGGUUUAAUUCGAUAAUACGCGAAAAACCUUACCAACAAAAACUAGCCUUGACAUCCCUAUCGCGGAUUAGAGAGAUCUUUUCCUUCAGCUCGGCUGGAUAGGUGACAGGUGCUGCAUGGCUGUCGUCAGCUCGUGCCG